AUGGGCCGGAGUUCCAACUACAACCCCUCCAACCAGCCUACACAAGAAAGUUCCAGACCCACCUCCCUGUACUCAUCCUGGUGCCUCUCAAAUUCAGGCGAAUAUUCUAGCUCCGCCAGCGGCUCCCCACCCCGCCCACGCCUGUUCGCGCUCCCCGCCACGUGGAGCUUCAGGCCCCGCCUUCUCUGGGCGCGCUCCCGGCCCCCUCCCCCCGGUCACCUGUCCCGGAGACCCCGCGGCGUCCGCGACUCCAGCUCCGUCGGCCUCUGCGUCCGCAGCUCCCGGGCCACGCGCGUCACUUCCUGCCCGCACCACCGAGACUGUGUCUCAAAAAAAAAGAAAAAGAAAAAAAAAAGAAGGUGUGAGACUAAGGAAAUCACCAAUGCCAACUCUCCUCAGCAGAUCCGAAAGCUGAUCCAAAGAUGGCUGAUCAUCCCGCAAGCCUGUGGACGGUCCAUUCCGGGCGCGGAUGCGGAAAAAUACCUUGGCCCGCCGAAAGGGAGGCCACAUGGGCAUAGUAAGCGGAAGGGUACAGCAAAUGCCCGAAUGCAGAGAAGGUCACGUGGAUGAGGAGAAUGAGGAUUCUGCGACUCUGCUGCUCAGAAGAUACCAUGAGUCCUAAGAAAAUUGAUCGCCACAUGUAUCUACAGCCUGUACCUGAAGGUGAAGGGGAAUGUGUCCAAAAACAAGCGUAUUCUCAUGGACACACAUCCACAAAAGCUGAAGGCAGACAAGGCCCGCAAGAAGCUCCUGGCUGACCAGGCUGAGGCCCGCAGGUCUAAGACCAAGGAAGCACGCAAGCGCCUGAAGAGCGCCUCCAGGCCAAGAAGGAGGAGAUCAUCAAGACUUUGUUCAAGGAGGAAGAGACCAAGAAAUAAAAGCUCCCCCUUUGUCUGUACAUACUGGCCUCCGUGAUUACAUAGAUCAGCCAUGAAAAUAAAACAAGCCUU
RNA transcript from Cercocebus atys (sooty mangabey), 950 nucleotides. It is a transcript of the gene named 60S ribosomal protein L19-like, with no coding region annotated. The record is from RefSeq and is a predicted model, not a curated record. The transcript has 4 exons. NCBI's taxonomy places the organism in Eukaryota, Metazoa, Chordata, Mammalia, Primates, Cercopithecidae.